RNAcentral lists this ribosomal RNA (1309 nucleotides) under Psedna nana. RNAcentral describes it as "16S ribosomal RNA". The stretch from base 850 to 1241 matches the Rfam family "Bacterial large subunit ribosomal RNA", at positions 2049 to 2651 of the family's 2925-position model. The record is from RNAcentral. Lineage: Eukaryota; Metazoa; Arthropoda; Insecta; Orthoptera; Pyrgomorphidae.
UUCUUAAUUUAUUAUCUGCUUUUCUUGUUUUAUUAAUUGUUUAAUAGAAAUAACUUUCUUGUUAAAUUUGUCUAAGUAUAUUUUAUAGAAUUGAUUUUUAUUAUUAUAGUUUAUUAGUAAUGUAAAUGGAAUAUUUAAGAUUGUUUAAGGGGUUGAAAGUAUUUAUUGUUUGGAGUACCUUUUGUAUCAGGGUUGAUUAAUAUUUUGUUGUUUAUAAUGUCACUCUCGAUUUAGGUUGAUCUAUAAUCAAAUGUUAGUUUAUUGUGUUAUAACUAUCUAAAAUUUGAUUAUAGAGAUGAUAUGUCAUUCGUUUCCUAAGAUAUCUAGUUUCUUAAGAAGAAAUUUAAUUUUUAAUAAUUCUUGUUUUAUUACAAUUUUUUGUGGUUAAUUAAGAUUUAAUCUACACCUUAGGGGAUAAGCUCUUAGGUAUUUCCCUAUAAUUGUUAAUUUUUUAUUGAAUAGUAGGCUUUGAACCAGCUAUCUUUUUGAUUACGUUUUAGUUCAUUAUUAUUCUUUUGGAUUUUAUAACUUUUUUAGGUUUAUUAUUAAGACGUUUGAAUUAAUUUUUUAUUUUUGGUGAUAAUGAUUGAAUUAGUAUAUAAGGUUGUUUAUUUAUAUUCCUUUGAAGAAUUUAUUUUAAGGAACUAGGCAAAAUUGGUCCUCGCCUGUUUAUCAAAAACAUGUCCUUUAGAUUAUAAUUUGAGGUCUGACCUGCUCACUGAAAUUUUAAAGAGCCGCGGUAUUUUGACCGUGCAAAGGUAGCAUAAUCAUUAGUCUUUUAAUUGGAGGCUGGAAUGAAUGGUUUGACGAGGGGCCGACUGUCUCACAGUAAUUUGUAAAAUUUAACUUUUAAGUCAAAAGGCUUAAAUUUUUCUUUAGGACGAGAAGACCCUAUAGAGCUUGAUAUAAUGUUUUUGAUUAUUUUCCUGUUUGUUUAUUUUAUUCAUUAAUUAUAAUAUUUUGUUGGGGUGACAUAAAGAAUAAAUAAACUCUUUAUUAUUAGAUCAUUAAUUUAUGUUUAAAUGAUCCACAAUUUGUGAUUAAAAGAUUAAGUUACCUUAGGGAUAACAGCGUAAUUGUUUUUUAGAGCUCAAAUCAACAAAGCAGAUUGCGACCUCGAUGUUGGAUUAAGAAAAGUACUUGGUGCAGUAGCUUAGUAACUAGGUCUGUUCGACCUUUAAAUUCUUACAUGAUCUGAGUUCAGACCGGCGUGAGCCAGGUCGGUUUCUAUCCUAAGAAUAAUUUUUGUGCUAGUACGAAAGGACCGUACAAUUGGAAUAUUUCUUUAAAUUGUGAUUCAUAAUAACUU